Molecule: long non-coding RNA, 404 nt
Organism: Oncorhynchus tshawytscha (Chinook salmon)
Lineage: Eukaryota; Metazoa; Chordata; Actinopteri; Salmoniformes; Salmonidae
Exons: 3
Source: RefSeq, a predicted model, not a curated record
UGGUAGAGUACAGUCUGACCGUCUCUCUCCUCUCCUCUAGUCCCUGCUGGUCCCUGGUCCAGUCCAGUCCCAGGUGGUAGAGUACAGUGUGGAUGUUUCUCUACCGGAACACUUCCUCCUGCCUCAUACCAUCACUCUGCCUGUGGCCAGGGACGCACGGGUCACACAGGACAACCUCACAGACUCUGAGGUAGUGAUGGUACCACUGAGGUUCCAUGCCCACGUGGCCGGUCGGUUCCAGUGCCAGCUGGUUCUGCAGUCGUGGCGUGACAUCAGAGUCUACCUGCUGGAAGCCGUGGUUACCGCAGAGGGAGACCACGCCCAGCUAGAGUUCACCACGCCCGCUCACCUGUCUGUCACUCAGGACAUCCCUCUGAUCAAUGAGAGCAGACAGGACUGGCGUC